This is a non-coding RNA of Trematomus bernacchii (emerald rockcod), 73 nucleotides long. The record is from the annotation of a RefSeq genome assembly. Lineage: Eukaryota; Metazoa; Chordata; Actinopteri; Perciformes; Nototheniidae.
GGCUCCAUAGCUCAGUGGUUAGAGCACUAGUCUUAUAAACCAUGGGUCGCGAGUUCGAUCCUCGCUGGGGCAU